RNAcentral lists this unclassified non-coding RNA (221 nucleotides) under Udeniozyma ferulica. RNAcentral's name for it is "partial internal transcribed spacer 2". The record is from RNAcentral. Lineage: Eukaryota; Fungi; Basidiomycota; Microbotryomycetes; Colacogloeaceae.
ACUCUUCAACCCACCGGUUCCUUGUUGAACUGUGUGGUGCUUGGUUACUGAACGUUGCUGGUUCCUCGUGAACGCUAGCUCGUUUAAAAUUCAUUAGCAUCUCAAUUUCGAAACGUGGAUUGACUCAGCGUAAUAGACUAUUCGCUGAGGACACUGCUUGCGGUGGCCAUGUUAGAUAACGAUCGAUGCUCAUAGCACUCUAUCUAGUCAUUCUUUCUAAG